CAGCAAGCCCCGGGCGCGCUGCGGCCCGGAAGCGGAAGUGUGCCUCCCAGUCUGAGGAAUCGGUGUGUACUCGGUGGUCCUGAAAUCCACGGGAGGCGCUUUGCUUCGCGUCUGCGGACACUCGAGCGCUUCGCCCCUGGCGGGUGGGAGUGCAGAGACGGCAGUGCGAGAUGAGCACCAUGUUCGCUGACACGCUGCUCAUCGUCUUCAUCUCCGUGUGCACGGCCCUGCUCGCCGAGGGUAUAACCUGGGUCCUGGUUUACAGGACAGACAAGUACAAGAGACUGAAGGCCGAAGUAGAAAAACAGAGUAAAAAAUUGGAAAAGAAGAAGGAAACAAUAACGGAGUCAGCUGGUCGACAACAAAAAAAGAAAA
Molecule: non-coding RNA, 375 nt
Organism: Manis javanica (Malayan pangolin)
Lineage: Eukaryota; Metazoa; Chordata; Mammalia; Pholidota; Manidae
Source: RefSeq, a predicted model, not a curated record